CUAUGAUACUUGCGUCCGCAGGACACACACGUAAUUUCAAAUUGCGACAACGCAUAUAGUCGACCGCGGCAGAGGUAACGUGGAUAUGUUUUAACUGAAGGGGCCAUCUUUAUUAGCUAUUAUUACAUCUUCAACAGAAAGCAGGACUUGCGAACAGAUGCUGUGUGCAUUUGUAUGUUCUGAAGGGCCCUACAGCCCUUCAUUCUGGGACAAGCGCAGACUUAACGAAACCUUACGUUUGGAGUAUUUGUACAGUCAUAAGUAAUUAAAACAAUCCCUGGCAUGGCGAUAUUACAAGGCUUUUGCAUGCUAAGUGGCCAUUUCAGCCGAACUCCGUCGAUAUGCUCUGAAGGCCCCUCAGCCCUUCGUUAUGAAAUGGGCACGAAUGAGCACGAAACGACAACUAGAUGAAGGGAUUCCCGGGUAUCGAAGGGAAGCUGGUUCCCAGAGUGGGGAGGCCACGCCGUGGGCAGCUUAUCAUGGCGUCACCCCUGACGUCAGCCACCUGCACACCUUUGGCUGCCUGGCCUACGUCCGCAUCCCAGCCAGCCAGCAGGAUAAGCUCGGUCCCCGCGCGAAGGCGGGAACCUACCUUGGACCGGAGCGCAACACGGCCGCCCACUGUGUCCUUGUUGACGGCAAGGUGACUGUUAGCAGUGACGUCACCUUCGAUGAUGACCACCGCGGCCCGGCAUCUCAACGGGCAGGCACCCCCUUCGGCACCAGCCCCGCCCGUCCUGGCGGCAGCGACCCCGUCGGCGGCUCAACACAGCCUGCCACACCGCCAACUCAAGUGGAUGCCCUGCCCCCAGUGAACCCAGCGCCCCCCUCCGCCCUAACACUCGCAGUCAACGGCAACCGCUGCACCCACCGCUGGCCCCGGUCAGCCUGGCCAACAACAGCAGCUGUGGCGGCGGAGAUUUGGGUAGUCCACCGCUGCUUAACAAAGCGUCGGGUAGCACCGAUCGCGCUGAGUUUAACGUGCCCGACGGCAGUGCCAACGGCGGACACAAUAGUGCUGCGCAGGAGCUUAACAUGCCCGACGGCAGUGCGGACAGCGGAGGCCACAGCGCGGUGCAGGAGCCGCGCAAAUAUGAGGAAGCGGUGGCGAGUCCGCAAGCUGACAAGUGGAAGAGUUCGAUGGAUGACGAGAUCCUGUCGCAGCUCUCCAACAAAACAUGGGAGUCAGUGGUGCCUUGAUGGACAGAGGCAGGUUCGAUGCCUUGAUUGUGGCCUGCAAGCAAGUCAGUGCUUCAUGAGUGUGUAGUGACACGUUGUGCUGCUGUUAGGGGCCUUACCCGGCAGAACCUCUCAUUGAAGUUGUGUUGGACAACUUCAUCCAUGACUUUAACAACCUCUGCAACAAAAUCCCGGUCCCAGGCACCCCGCUGCUUGCAUCCCUUGGCGAGUAUGUCAUCCUUGCUCUUCUUGCUUGAUUUUAAGUUUGCACUUCUCUCUCCUGGGAAGCUGUGGGGUUCCAAGGGAAGAAGGAACAAGGCAAUUCCCAGGUUGUCAUGCUUAUGCUUUUAAGGGCCACAACAGCAGCUUUAAACCAGCCAUCUUGGCAAAAAAGAAAAGAAAAUUCAGUGCAUUUCAGUUAGAAAGGGCUAAGCAGAUUGAAGUCGGCUGCUGGCUGGGAAUCACAUUUAAAUGCCAUUGUUGACGGCAGGUCAACGAACACACCUGUUCCCGUGGGAAGCUCCUUCACACCGAAUGUGUCAUAGAAUAUGACAUGUUGCAGAAGACAAUCCUCUGUCAGGGCACCCGCAAGGGCUUUUGAUACUUCGUCGCCAUUGGAGGUGAGGACCGAGUUCAUUAUCAGGGUCCGCUGGGCUGCAAAGUGCUGGAGGUAACCGACAGGCUUCAACGUGACAUUGGCCCGUCUAAUUAGAAGUGCGGAAUGCUGCACCGCCGACAUUCUGAGCAAGCUCGCGGUCAAAGGAAAGUCGAUGACUUUGGCUGUCGUCUGUUUGGUCAAAGAGUAUAAGUAUAUUAAGUAAGAAUUACAUGUAUUUGGCACAGUUAAG
This 2027-nucleotide long non-coding RNA is filed under the name Volvox carteri. RNAcentral's name for it is "long non-coding RNA (VCAR_LNC003813)". The record is from RNAcentral. Lineage: Eukaryota; Viridiplantae; Chlorophyta; Chlorophyceae; Chlamydomonadales; Volvocaceae.